UACGUAGGUGACAAGCGUUGUCCGGAUUUACUGGGCGUAAAGAGCGCGCAGGCGGUCGUUCAAGUCGCGUGUGAAAGCCCCCGGCUCAACUGGGGAGGGUCACGCGAUACUGAUCGACUCGAAGGCAGGAGAGGGUAGUGGAAUUCCCGGUGUAGUGGUGAAAUGCGUAGAUAUCGGGAGGAACACCAGUGGCAAAGGCGACUACCUGGCCUGUUCUUGACGCUGAGGCGCGAAAGCUAGGGGAGCAAACGGG
This 253-nucleotide ribosomal RNA is filed under the name uncultured bacterium. Its description in RNAcentral is "partial 16S ribosomal RNA". It matches the Rfam family "Bacterial small subunit ribosomal RNA", at positions 524 to 776 of the family's 1533-position model. The record is from RNAcentral.